Molecule: ribosomal RNA, 1263 nt
Filed under: Laomedia healyi
Lineage: Eukaryota; Metazoa; Arthropoda; Malacostraca; Decapoda; Laomediidae
Description: 16S ribosomal RNA
Rfam family: Archaeal large subunit ribosomal RNA (bases 543-1263)
Source: RNAcentral
UUUUAAGGUAAGAAAAUCAAUUUUAAUGUUGGGAUUAAGUAUAUAUAAGAAAUUAAGUUAUAACUAUAGAGUAAAGUAUUGUAAAAGAAUUUUGAAAUAAAAUGAAAAAUUAAAUUAGAUGAAAGUAGGAUUUGGAGUCUGUACCUUGGGUGUCAGGGAGAAUCAAAAUUUGUUAAAUAUUGUAAAAAUCUCGAUAGACAGAUAGCUAAUUACUUGAGGAGUUUUUGUUGUAAAAUUAUUCGGAACUGGUAAUUGGUGGUGAAAUGUCAACCGUGCUGUUGUAUCUAGUUCUUUUUGAAAAAAGUUUAAUUUUGUUUUUGGGUCGAAGAACUCAAGAGGUUAAGGCAGGGUGGUUGAGCACCUUGUUUGAUUAGCAAGAGAAGUGAGCAUAAUCUAGGAUUAUAUAAGGAUUAGGUAUAGAAGUAGCCAUAAUUAAUAGUGUGUUUUUACUAAUAAAUUGUAAAGGAGAUUUAUAAAUGUUCUUUUGAAGUAGAAGGGUUAUAAGAUGAAUAAGUUAGCUUAUGAGAAAAUGAUUCUAUUAGUAUAUUAUUAUUGUGAGUGAAAAAGUAAGUUUAAGAAUAAAAAUUUAAAUACAAAGUGUUAUAGUAAAGGAACUCGGCAAAUAUAAAUUCCGCCUGUUUAUCAAAAACAUGUCUGUAUGGAAGAUAUACAGUCUGGCCUGCCCACUGAUUGUUUAAAGGGCCGCGGUAUACUAACCGUGCGAAGGUAGCAUAAUCAUUAGUCUUUUAAUAGGAGUCUGGUAUGAAUGGUUGUACGAGAAUUUAACUGUCUUUAUUAUAAAAAUUGAAAUUAACUUUUAAGUUAGAAGGCUUAAAUGAAUUAGGGGGACGAUAAGACCCUAUAAAGCUUUAUAUUAUUAGCUAUGUUAGAAGAUAAAGACAAUUAAAUUUUAAAAUAGCUGGAGUAUUGUGCUGGGGCGGCAAAGAUAUGUUGAGUAACUGUUUAUAAACGUAACACUUAUUUGUGAAAUUUAAUUGAUCCUUGUUGAAGAUUAGAAGGUAAAGUUACUUUAGGGAUAACAGCGUAAUCUUUCUUGAGAGUUCAAAUCGAGAGAAGGGGUUGCGACCUCGAUGUUGAAUUAAAAUUCCUUUUUAGUGCAGAAGUUAAAAAAGGAGGUCUGUUCGACCUUUGAAAUUUUACAUGAUUUGAGUUCAGACCGGCGCGAGCCAGGUCGGUUUCUAUCUCUUAAAAAAGUUUGAACUUUCUUAGUACGAAAGGAUUAGAGAGUUAAAAUAAUUUCUU